Cygnus olor (mute swan) is the source of this 369-nucleotide long non-coding RNA. RefSeq lists it as uncharacterized. Lineage: Eukaryota; Metazoa; Chordata; Aves; Anseriformes; Anatidae. The transcript is spliced from 3 exons. The record is from RefSeq and is a predicted model, not a curated record.
CCUACUACAGCUGUUGUGCCAAUACAGAUUCUUGUCUGAUCCCACAAUAUGUCAGUUUAGGGAGUUAAACCAGCGUAAAACUAUUUAUGGUUAACUUGCAUGGUUAUUUUUUCUCCUGGUUAAUGUUCUCAUAUUGAGUUAUCCUUUGAAUUCAUUUCAGCCUGCACCCUGCCAAGAAAAAAAUGCAGAGAAAAGCAGUGUAGGAAAGGAGGAGGAGGUGGCCAGUCACAGGUGGGUUUCUGCAGAACAAACAGAGACUGACAGAAAAAUGGAUGCUGUGAUAGACUGUGCUAGAAGUCUUGCUGACAUCAGGAUAAAAGACAUCCAUUGCUUUCCACUGUUCUGCAGACCCAGUCACUUCAUCGAGGA